This 468-nucleotide ribosomal RNA is filed under the name uncultured bacterium. Its description in RNAcentral is "partial 16S ribosomal RNA". It matches the Rfam family "Bacterial small subunit ribosomal RNA", at positions 28 to 507 of the family's 1533-position model. The record is from RNAcentral.
GACGAACGCUGGCGGCGUGCUUAACACAUGCAAGUCGAACGGAAAGGCCCUGCUUUUGUUGGGUUCUCGAUUGGCGAACGGGUGAGUAACACGUGAGUAACCUGCCCUUGACUUUGGGAUAACUUCAGGAAACUGGGGCUAAUACCGGAUAGGAGCUCCUGCUGCAUGUUGGGGGUUGGAAAGUUUCGGCGGUUGGGGAUGGACUCGCGGCUUAUCAGCUUGUUGGUGGGGUAGUGGCUUACCAAGGCUUUGACGGGUAGCCGGCCUGAGAGGGUGACCGGCCACAUUGGGACUGAGAUACGGCCCAGACUCCUACGGGAGGCAGCAGUGGGGAAUAUUGCACAAUGGGCGGAAGCCUGAUGCAGCAACGCCGCGUGCGGGAUGACGGCCUUCGGGUUGUAAACCGCUUUCGCCUGUGACGAAGCGUGAGUGACGGUAAUGGGUAAAGAAGCACCGGCUAACUACGUG